GGCCAAGAAAGCAGACUUUUCUUUAGUUCCCUGCUCCUAUUCCUCUGUUUCUUCCAAAUAUUCAUUCUCAGCCAUUUACUACCCUCACUUUACUCUCUCUGAAAAUCUCACCUCCUUCCAUAGCUUCAACUAACUCCUAUAUGUCUAUUGCUCACAAAUCUCCAGUUUUAGUCCAGAUCUACAUCUGAGUAACAGAUCCACCUAUCUGCCUACUAAACAUUUCCAUUGAUACGCCCUACAGCUUUGUUAACCACACCAUUCUUAAUGCUGAAUAAGUCCUGCUUCUCUUACUUCUUGCCUUUUCUGUCUCCAUUUGGGCAAUACCAUCCACCCAGAUACUGAAGUAUGAGUCAUUUCUAUUCGUUUCAUUUCCUUUACUACUCUGGUUCUUCCACAUGGCCACUUCAGCCACUGGGACAUUUCUAUUGCAUGUAUUGACCUACAAUUAGUUAUUUGUAUGUUUCUCUCCAUCCCUCACAAUGAGAUUUUCAAAAAUAAAGAGUUAAUAUAACAAGAACUGAAUGGAUUAAGGUGGAGCAGUUAGGGUUGCAGGAUACCAUUUCUGCCAUCAUUUCUUUCAUCUAGUUGACAACAGAUAGUAAAGUUGUGAAACCUGCCUGUUUGAGCUCAGUCAUCCACCAGAAUCAGACACCUGUGUGCUACUAGACCAGCAGCAGCACCUGUUGAGUGUUGAGUGCCCCAGGCAGUUUGGCCUAUGGGAGACCCCGGUAUUUUGCUAAUCCAGAGAUACUUGAGUUAUAUUGUUUAUUUGUGCAAUGGUAUUUUCCUUUAAAAUAUAUUUAACUAAGUAAUCAUUCUGAAUGGCAGUUGAUUUGUAUUCCUAUUAAGAUGCAAAUUUGCUAUUUGAGCCAAGAAAUGUAAUCUCACUUUCUUUUGCCUCAAUAUCACCAUCUAAUAAAAAGAAUAAGCUAUGCACACAUAAUCUGUUAUUUCCUGUUACUUGGUUUACUCUCUUCUACAGGUGCAGGACCCAGGUCAGCAACAACUUUGAAAUAAACUACAGCUCUCCUGUGAGCUAAAGGCAGAAAUGUGGAAAUGUUGAGAAAAUUCUUGUCUGCAUCACAGACACACAUACUCAUGAUUGCCAAUAAUAUCUGUGGUCCUUAGCUAUAACGUACUCAACUUGAGGGUGGUGGAAGAUCUCCAUGAAUACUGAAGUUUGAAUUUUAGCUCCAGAACUUAUUUGCUGUGUGUGAACUUGGGUAACCCAAGAGGAACCGGAUGGGAACAGAGAUGAGAAAGAUAAAGAGAAAAGCUGCAUUGUGCAAUUUGAUUCUCUAUGAUUCUUCUGACAUUUUCAGUGAAAUACAAUAAACCCAAGAAUGUCUGAUAGAGAAAAAUCCGUAUAUGUGCUGCCAUGUUCACAAGAGCCUUUGCAGAUGGUCUGUCCGUAUGCUACAGUAGAGCAAGAGCAGCACCACUGAGCUCCUAGUGCCAGACAGAGGAAAAGAGGCAAGUUGGGAAAGAGAGAGGAAGAAAGGUAUGAGUAAAGUUUGGCAUUGGAAAGAAAACAGCAUCUGUAGAAAAGCUGUAGACAGUUCCGCUUCCUUAAAGUGGAGAGUUAAACUCACCUUUU
Cercocebus atys (sooty mangabey) is the source of this 1597-nucleotide long non-coding RNA. RefSeq lists it as uncharacterized. The transcript is spliced from 4 exons. The record is from RefSeq and is a predicted model, not a curated record. NCBI's taxonomy places the organism in Eukaryota, Metazoa, Chordata, Mammalia, Primates, Cercopithecidae.